AGGGUAGUAUAUCAAUGGUCAGAUUACUCCGUUUGGAACGGAGAGGCUCCCGGUUCGAGCCCGGGUUACCCUACUA
RNAcentral lists this transfer RNA (76 nucleotides) under Mucilaginibacter ginsenosidivorax. RNAcentral describes it as "tRNA-Pro". It matches the Rfam family "tRNA". Rfam says of the family: Transfer RNA (tRNA) molecules are approximately 80 nucleotides in length. Their secondary structure includes four short double-helical elements and three loops (D, anti-codon, and T loops). The record is from RNAcentral. Lineage: Bacteria; Pseudomonadati; Bacteroidota; Sphingobacteriia; Sphingobacteriales; Sphingobacteriaceae.